GACGAACGCUGGCGGCGCGCUUAACACAUGCAAGUCGAGCGAGAACCAGGGCUUCGGCCCUGGGGACAGCGGCGAACGGGUGAGUAACACGUGGGUAAUCAACCCUCGGCACCGGAAUAGCCCGGGGAAACCCGGAUUAAUGCCGGAUGGCCCGCCGGCCUUACGAGGCUGGUGGAAAAGGUAGCUUCGGCCUCCGGCCGGGGACGAGCCCGCGGCGGAUUAGCUUGUUGGUGGGGUAAUGGCCUACCAAGGCCGCGANCCGUAGCUGGUCUGAGAGGACGAUCAGCCACACUGGGACUGAGACACGGCCCAGACUCCUACGGGAGGCAGCAGUGGGGAAUCUUGCGCAAUGGGCGAAAGCCUGACGCAGCGACGCCGCGUGGGGAAGAAGGCCUCGGUU
This 400-nucleotide ribosomal RNA is filed under the name uncultured bacterium. RNAcentral describes it as "bacterial SSU rRNA". It matches the Rfam family "Bacterial small subunit ribosomal RNA", at positions 28 to 424 of the family's 1533-position model. The record is from RNAcentral.